Molecule: long non-coding RNA, 700 nt
Organism: Nymphaea colorata (pocket water lily)
Lineage: Eukaryota; Viridiplantae; Streptophyta; Magnoliopsida; Nymphaeales; Nymphaeaceae
Exons: 6
Source: RefSeq, a predicted model, not a curated record
GACCCACGGGAAAACCAGAGAGAGCGAGAUCGGGAGAGGGUUCAGGCGAGGAACCCCAAGGGGAAGGGCAAAGAUGAUGGGUUGACUCCGUAACAGAGAAGGGAAAGGGAUGCCAAGGCGCUCCAGGAGAAGGCGGCGAAGAAAGCUGCAGGGGGGGAAGCAGCAGCAUCCCGGAAUGCGGAAGAGGGGUUCUCUUUGCUACCGAGGCACUACUUGCUGAGCAUGGCAAAAAGAUUGCAGAUCAAUGAUUUGUGAUACAGAUUUGUGGAGUAAGAGGCUUUGAUGGGGGAGAUUCUGUGGAUCCCAGGACGUUGUUGGUGGAAGAUUGUGAUGUUCUCAUUCCAGCUGCACUUGGGGGUGUUAUUAACAGGGAAAAUGCUAAUGAUAUCAAGGCCAAAUUCAUUAUUGAAGCUGCUAACCAUCCAACUGAUCCAGAGGCUGAUGAGAUCUUAGCGAAAAAAGGUGUCAUCAUUCUGCCUGACAUUUUUGCAAACUCUGGUGGAGUUACCGUGUGUUACUUUGAGCAGUUAAUCUUCUUCUUAUCAUGUGUUUUAGAGAAGGAUGCAAUAUUUGUGUGCUGCAUGUUUUCUGCGUACACAAGCUCCUUAUUGUUCUAAUAUUUGUCAAUUUCCAGAACUCUUCAUCUCAAUGGGGUCUUUGUGGCCAUAAACUAAUCCAAGCUUAAAGCUCAUUAAUAUUC